AAGGCUUAUGACCAGGUUGCCCAAGAUGUCUUGUGGGAGGUCCUCUGGAAGUAUGGGGUACCAGGGCUACUACUCCGGGCCAUUCGAUCUCUGUACUCCCAGAGUGAGAGCUGUAUUCGUAUACUCAGCAUUAAGUCGGACACUUUCAGUAUUAGCGUUGGGCUCCGGUAGGGUUGUGCCCUGUCUCCACUCCUGUUCGUGAUAUUCAUGGACAGGGUGUCAAGGCGUAGCCAAGGUCAGGAGGCCAUUAUGUGUGGAGGCUGGAGGGUGGCAUCUCUGCUGUUUGCAGAUGAUGUUGUUCUUUUGGCUGAAUCACAUGGUUGCCUCCAGCGCUCACUGGAGCGGUUUGCAGCUGAGUGUGAAGCGGUUGGUAUGCAGAUCAGCACCUCCAAAUCUGAGUCCAUGGUCUUAGCCUGGAAAAGGAUGGCAUGCCCACUCCAGGACUUGCCCCAGGUGGAGGAGUUUAAAUAUCUCGGGGUCUUGUUCACAAGUGAUGGGAAGAGGGAUCGUGAGAUCGGCCACAGGCUGGGACAGGCGGCAGCAGUAAUACGGUCACUGUACCAGACUGUAGUGGUGAAGAGGGAGCCGAGCCAUAAAGCAAAGCUCUCUGUUUACCGGUUGGUCUACAUCCCAACCCUCACCUAUGGUCAUGAGCUGUGGGUAAUGACCGAAAGAAUGAGAUCGCGAAUACAAGCGGCGGAAAUUAGCUUUCUUCGCAGGGUGGCGGUCUACACUCUAUUUGAUAGGGUGAAGAGCUUGGCCAUCUGGGAGGAGGUAGAGCUGCUACUCCUCCACAUUGAGAGGAGCCAGCUGAGGUGGUUCGGGCAUCUGAUUCGGAUGCCCCCUGGACGCCUCCCGGUGGGGAUGUACCAGGCACGGCCUACCGGGAUAAGGCCCCGGGGUCGUCCUAGGACCUGCUGGAGGGAUUGCAUCUCCAAGUUGGCCUGGGAGUGGCUUGGGGUCCCUGGGAAGCUGGGGAGCUGGAGGAAGCUGCAGGGGACAGGGUCAUAUGGGAUUCUCUGCUUUCCCAACUGCUACUGCGACCCUAUCUGGAUUAAGCGGUCAACAACGAUGAUGAUGAUGUCAACAACCAGUAGAACAAGUGAUAAUUUGUCAAAAACAUUGUAUUAAACCACCUAAUUCUUAAUUUUUUUCAUUGUCUUCCAGUAAAUCAGUCAAUGCAGUCUCAGAGUAUCCACAUAAAGAAAGAGUCAACUUUAGAUCUCUGCACAGUGCUUUGUUCAGUUACAAAUGGCCCAAAGGUCAAUCUGUCAUGGGUUAGAAACAGAGAUACAUUGAAACAAAGCAGUAAUCCUGAC
Molecule: long non-coding RNA, 1319 nt
Organism: Pygocentrus nattereri (red-bellied piranha)
Lineage: Eukaryota; Metazoa; Chordata; Actinopteri; Characiformes; Serrasalmidae
Source: Ensembl